This 36027-nucleotide long non-coding RNA is filed under the name Hordeum vulgare. RNAcentral describes it as "long non-coding RNA (HVUL_LNC007625)". Lineage: Eukaryota; Viridiplantae; Streptophyta; Magnoliopsida; Poales; Poaceae. The record is from RNAcentral.
CUCAUGGGGACCUAGUCACCUUGAUGGGGAUCAUUGGAGGUGUGGUAGCAGUAGAUGAGGUAGUACUAGAAGUGUCCUUGGGAACCCACUCGACCUUGGUUUGGGGAUCUUCCUCAAAUGAGUCAAUCUCCUAUUGAAGCUUUCCCUUUCCCUUGUGGUCUUGUGGUAGAAGACCAUCUUGAGAGCUUCUUCCCUUGGGAGGAGUAUGAUCAUACUUCUCCUCUUGAGGAACAAACUUGGUAAUGGGAUAUGGACCUUCUUCCCAAACAACUCCGUUGACAUUGAAGUAUCCAACACCUUGCUUCUUCCGAUGUCCUCCUUGCUUGCGCACAAUUUCCUCGAAUUGCUUAGUUUUGGCAAGGCUCUUGAAGACACCUCUCUGUAUAAUCCCUUUCAAUAAAUCAUUUUCUUUCUCAAGUGUAACUUGGCUAAUAGAAUCAUUAGUGGAAUCAAGAGAGCUACUACCAACAACAUCAUUUGAUCUAGCUUUAGCAUUGUUUCUACUAGAUGAAGAAACUUUCUUGCCUUUGUUACUAGUGUUCUUAGGUUUAACUUGUGGAACAAAAGUUGACAAGAGUAAUUGUUUGGCUAGAUAAGAAGAAAUCUUCUUUUGAAGAUCAUCAUUGAUUGCUUUUAGAAACUCGUGCUCUUGCUCUAAAUUUAUCUUCUUGAAGUGUAGCUUCUCAUGAGUUCUUGCAAGCUCUCUAUGAUCUUCUAGAAUAGUUUCAUGAGUUAACUUAAGAGUGUUUAAUUCUUUAGUUAGUCAUUCAAUCUCUUUCUUAUCAUCAUCAUUCGAUUUAUCUUGACUAACAUGAAUAUUUUCAAGUUCACUUUCAAUGUUAUUACUAGUAUUAUCAAAGGGCAAGUCAUCAUCUCCUAACAAGUCAUCCUCAUCACUAUCAAAUUUUAAGUACUCGGGGUGUGGUACCUUGGGGCCUUUUGCCAUGAAGCAGUUUCCGAUCCCUUCAUUUGGUGAAUCAAAUAAGUCGUAGGAGUUGGAAGAAACAAGUGCAAUACUCGCAACACCAUCAUCUAGUCUUAUCAAAGAGCAAGUCAUCAUCUCCUAACAAGUCAUCCUCAUCACUAUCAAAGUCAAAGUACUCGGGGUGUGAUACCUUGGGGACUUUUGCCAUGAAGCAGAUUCCAAUCCCUUCAUUUGGUGAAUCAAAUAAGUCGUGGGAGUUGGAAGAAAUGAGUGCAAUAUUGGCAACACCAUCAUCUUGACUGUAGUCAGAGUUGGAGUGAUAGUUUAUCUUGGAUUGGUUGUCACACUCGGAGCCGGAAACCCAUUCACCAAUGUUAGUUGAUGUCUUCUUCUUGAACUGCUCUUGGUGUACUUGUCCUUCUUCUCCGAUUCUUUUCCUCUCCGGGAGUGUCUUCGUUCAUAAUGAUCUUCUCUACUCCUUCUCUCUCUACGAGGUGACUCAUCUCUUGAGCUUCGUCUUCUAGGUGACUCUUCUCUUCGUUUGUGGGGAGCCGAGCACUCAUUUGAAAAGUUUUCGGGCUUUCCACAGUUGUAGCAGUUUCGUUCAUGACUAGACGAACACUUGUCAUCAUAUCUCGAGCUUGAGCUUCUUUCUUUGCAUCUACUCUUGUAGAACUUGUUGAAUUUUCUGACCAUGAGGCUGUUCUCUUCAUUAGUAACAAGGUUGUCAACUGAAGUAGUGGGAGCAUCGCUUGAAGCUUUGUAAGCACUGCUUGACUUGUUGCGCAACUCAUGUUUGUCGUUGAGAGACAUUUCAUGAGCAACAAUCCUUCCAAUGACUUCAGUUGGCUUGAGAUCCUUGUAAUUUGGCAUCAUUUGGAUUGAUGUGCACACGGUUCCGUAUCUUCCAUCCAAGGCUUUAAGUAUCUUCUUGAUGAUGAAUUUUUCAGUCAUCUCGUCACUUCCUAAGCCGGCAAUCUCAUUUGUGAUGAGAGCUAGCCUAGAAUACAUCUCAACGACUCAUUCAACAUCCUUCAUCUUGAACUUGUCAAGCUGACUUUGAAGCACAUCCAACUUAGAUUCCGUGACAGAAUCAGUUCCUUCGUGCAUAUCAAUCAAGGUAUCCCAAAUUUCCUUUGCAAUCUCAAGGCGACUAAUUUUGUUGAAUUCUUCGGGACACAAGCAAUUGAACAGAAUAUCACAGGCUUGAGCAUUGUAUUGCAACAUCUUCAGCUCAUCCGCUGUCGCAUCACGAACCGGUUCUUUUCCUUCUCCGAAGAAAUCACCUUGCACACCAACACGAACAACAUCCCUAACUACAGGAUUAUGACCAAGAAUAUGCACUUUCAUCUUAUGCUUCCAACUAGGAAAUUAGUGCCAUCGAAAUAUGGACCAUUACAAUGAUAAUUUCCCUCACUAGACGCCAUACCCUCCUAGGUUGUGAAACCAAUGCAAUGGAAACCAAAGCUCUGAUACCACUUGUAUGAUUGAAAGUAUGUCUAGAGGGGGGGUGAUUAGACUACUUGACAGGAUAAAAGCUUAGCAUUUUCCCAAUUUUAAGUGUGGGCCAGUUUUAGCAAUGAUGACUAGUCAAGUACACCCUGUACAUGCACAUCUAAGAGUAUAGGAGUAGAAAGUGAAACAUGGAAGUGUAAAGUAGAGGGCAAGGUAGGGAUAUCAAACGCAAAGGUAGACACGGCGAUUUUUGGCAUGGUUCCGAUAGGUGGCACUAUCGUAUGUCCAUAUUAGUGGAUACUUCAACCCACAGAGGGUAAUGGUUGCGAGAGUCCAUGGAGCGCUCCACCCACAAGGGGUCCACAAAGAAGCGGCCUUGUCUAUUCCACCACGGCUUCCGUCCACACAGGACUAGCCUCACUCACGGUAGACCUUCAUGAAGUAGGUGAUCUCCUUGCCCUUACAAACAUCUUUGUUCAACUCCACAACACGAAGUAGGAGGCUCCCAAGCGACACCUAACCAAUGUAGGAGGCACCACCUUCAAAAAGGUAAUAGAUGUGGUAGAAUGAUGAACUCCUUGCUCUUGUGCUUCUAAAGAUAGUCUCCUCAACACUCAAUCACUCUCUCUCAGAUUUGGUAGGGGGUAGGAGAUAUUGAUCUUGUGGAGAGCAACUUGGGGAGGCUAGAAAUCAAGGUUCAAAUGGUUGGAAUGGUAUCUCUUUAUUCAACACAUGGGUAGGUGGCUCUCUCUCGGAAAAAUGGAUCUGGCAAGUGUGUGUGUGUUCUGAGUGCUUCUUCUAUGAAUGAGAUGUAUGUGGAUGGGUAUAUAUAGGCAUCUCCCAAAAUCCAACCGUUACAACAUUAUUGCCCAACUCGGUGACACCGAAAAGAAUCUCGGUGGUACCGUGUUGCACUAAAUGUGGCAACUUUUGAAUUCUCAGUGAGACCGAUAUAGGAAUCUUGAUGGUACCAAUACGAUGACCUAGGCAAGUUUCCAGAUCUCAGUGAGACCAAUUUCAAACUCAAAAAAUCUGAUUCUUGAAAUCUUCUCAAUAGAAAUUGGUCACUGAAUCUCGAUGGCGCCGGUAGGAAUGUUGGUGGUACCGAGAUGGUAGGAUUUGGCAUAGGUUCUGUCAAGUGUAAAAUUGGUAGGGUCGAAUGGAAAUUGUUGAUGGCACCGAUUUUGCUGAUAUAGGUUUGGGCAUAGAUAUUUUGUGGGAGAAUGGCUGAGUAUUUUUGGUGGCUACCUCUAAGCACUUCAGCAACCAAUUCAUCAUAAUACCUCAUCCCCUUUUAAUAGUAUUGGCUUUCCUAUGGACUCAAAAUGAUUUCUCACAAAGUAUAAAAUGAAGAGUCUUCUUGCUUGAAACUUGAGCCAAUCCUAUUCCUUCCUUUAUCAAGGGGCAUCUUCUCACGAUCCUAUAGCCAAACCAUCUUUGAACUUUUCUGAAAUAUACUUGGAUAAACUCAUUAGUCUAAUGAUGCAUAUGUUGUGAUUAAUUACCAAAAACACCUUAGGGAGCAAUUGUGCUUUUAGUGCCCGCAUUGCUGGUACACUCUAUCUUGACACGAUCCAAGAAUAAACUUUCCACACAAGCAGUACGAGGACCAUGUUAAGGUAAUUAUUAUUUCAUUUCAUCUUGCACGUUGGUAGACCAUAUAUAUGCUAGUAUGUCACUAUGUUAUUGUUGUUGUUCCUAAUUUUCAAAAGCACCCUAAGGACACGGAGUUGCUGCUCAAGAAUAUCUUCAACUUUGGAUGGAUGAAGAUUCUUUAGUGCCUAUACAAGAGGUAUCGUGACAGAGUGCUACAUCGGCGAGGCGUGGCGCUAGCUCCAAGAAAGUGAUUGAAGACGAUGAUGAUGACUUUAUACCUAGCAAACGAGCUCUAAACAGAGGAAAUCCCCUAUUGCAUCUGAGAGGGGUGGAAGUAGGUGUAAGAAAGUGAAGAGCGACGAUGAUAACUUUAUGCCAAGCAAGAAAGCUCAAAACAGAUCCAAGGGUUGUGCCAGUUCGAAGAGCGGUAAAUCAAGAAAGAGUGUAGCCUCAUCGAAGUGGGCCGAUGUUGAUUACAAUUCCGCAAAGGAGUUUAUGCCCCAUGCUGGUGAGAAUAGUGAUGAUGACUUCAUGUAGUUGUUGCAUGAGUUGUAGAAUUAGUUUGUGAUGUCUUAUUGUAGGAGCAUUAUUUUGUAUUUUAAUUUCCUGUUGUAGUUGUUGCAUGACUUGUAGAAUUAGUUUGUACUGUCUUAUUGUACAAGCAUUAUGUUGUAUCUUCAUUUCUUGUUGUUGUUGUUGCACGACGUUACAAAAUUAGUUUGUAGUAUAAGAAUUAUCCCCGCUGAAAUAAGCAAGCACUAAAAUACCACCACAGGAAAAAUUAACCAUACUAAUAGAGAAUUAUCCUCGUGUCAUUUGUCCCAUACAUAGAAUAGGCAUAUGUCUCAUACAUAGAAUUUUCAUAUGUCCCAUGCAUAAGUGGAUAGUAGUGUCUCUACUAAUAGAGAGAAGCGUCUGUUGGGGAACGUUGCAUGGGAAACAAAAACUUUCUUACGCACACGAAGACCUAUCAUGCUGAUGUCCAUCUAUGAGAGGAGAUUCGAUCUAUGUGCCCUUGUAGAUCGCUAAGCGCGAAGCGCUAAGAAACGCGGUUGAUGUAGAGAUACAGCUUCGUGAUUCAAAUCACCAUCGUCCCACGAUCCGUUCCGAUCUAGCGCCGAACGGACGACACCUCCGCGUUCAGCACACGUACAACUCGAUAACCAUCUCGACCUUCUUGAUCCAGCAAGAGAGACGGAGAAGUAGAUGAGCUCUCCGGCAGCGUGAUGGCGCUCCGGUGGUGGUGAUGAUCUAUUCCUGCUGGGCUCCGCCCGAGCUUCGCAGAAAUCCGAUCUAGAGGUAAAACUAGGUGGUAUAAGUUUGAGUUGCACGUGGCAAACUUGUGUCUCAAAAGCCCUAAAACCACCAGUGUAUAUAGGAGGAGGGGAGGGGCUAGCCUUGGGGCUCAAGGAGCCCCUUGGUCCACCGGCCGAAGGGAGGAGGUGGACUCCCACCCCAAUUCGGUUUGGGGGAAGGAGUCCACUCCUUCCUUCCCACCUCCCUCUUUAAUUUUUUUUUUCCUUUGGUGUUUUUCCACUUGUGGUGCCAUGUCCCAAUUGGGCUGGCCUCACCAUCCCACUAAGGGCUGGUGCGCCACCCUAGGGUCAUUGGGCUCACUCCCGGGUGGGUGGGCCCCUCCCGAUGAAUACCCGGAACCCAUUCGUCACUCCCAGUACAUUAUCGGUAAUGCCCAAAACUUUUCGGUGACCAAAUGAAACCAUCCUAUAUAUCAAUCUUCGUUUCCGGAUCAUUCCGGAAAACCUCGUGACGUCUGUGAUCUCAUCUGGGACUCCGAACAACAUUCGUUAACCACACAUAUAACUCAACUAUACUAAAACAUCAUCGAACCUUAAGUGUGCACACCGUGCGGGUUCGAGAACUAUGUAGACAUGACUGGAGACACUUCUCGGUCAAUAUCCAAUAGCGGAACCUGGAUGCCCAUAUUGGAUCCUACAUAUUCUCUGUAGAUCUUAUCGCUUGAACCUCAGUGCCAAGGAUUCAUAUAAUCCCGUAUGUCAUUCCCUUUGUCCUUCGGUUUGUUACUUGCCCGAGAUUCGAUCGUCGGUAUCCGUAUACCUAUUUCAAUCUCGUUACCGGCAAGUCUCUUUACUCGUUCCCUAAUACAAGAUACCGUGACUUACACUUAGUCACAUUGCUUGCAAGGCUUAUUUGAUAUGUUGUAUUACCAAGUGGGCCCUGAGAUACCUCUCCGUCACACGGAGUGACAAAUCCCAGUCUUGAUCCAUACUAACUCUACGGACACCUUCGGAGAUACCUGUAGAGUACCUUUAUAGUCACCCAGUUACAUUGCGACAUUUGAUACACAGAAGGUAUUCCUUUGGUGUCAGUGAGUUAUAUGAUCUCAUGGACAUAGGAAUAAAUACUUGACACGCACAAAACAAUAGCAACAAAAUAACACGAUCACAUGCUACGUUUAUAGUUUGGGUCUAGUCCAUCACAUGAUUCUCCUAAUGACGUGAUCCAGUUAUCAAGUGACAACACUUGCGUAUGGUCAGAAAACCUUGACCAUACUUGAUCAACUGGCUAGCCAACUAGAGGCUUUCUAGGGACAUUGUUUUGUCUAUGUAACCACACAUGUAUCUAUGUUUUCAUUCAAUACAAUUAUAGCACGGAUAACAAACGAUUAUCUGCAAACAAGAAAUAUAAUAAUAACUAUUUUAUCAUUGCCUCUAGGGCAUAUUUCCAACAGUCUCCCACUUGCACUAGAGUCAAUAAUCUAGUCCUCACAUCGCCAUGCGAUUUACAUUGUAAUAAAUCUAACAACCAUACAGUUCUAGUGUUGAUCAUGUUUUACCCGUGGAAGAGGUUUAGUCAGCGGAUCUACUACAUUCAGAUCCGUGUGCACUUUGCAAAUAUUUAUGUCCUCUCCUUCGACAUAGCCGCGGAUGAGGUUGAAGUGUCGUUUGAUGUGCCUGGUCUUCUUGUGAAACCUUGGUUCCUUUGCUAAAGCAAUGGCACCAGUGUUGUCACAUAACAGAGUUAUUGGAUUUAGUGCGCUCGGCACAACUCCAAGAUCCGUCAUGAACUGCUUCAUCCAGACACCCUCCAUAGCUGCCUCCGAGGCAGCCAUGUACUCUGCUUCACAUGUAGAAUCUACUACGACGCUUUGCUGGGAACUGCACCAGCUUACCGGACCCCCAUUAAGAAUAAAUACGUAUCCGGUUUGAGACUUAGAAUCAUCCGGAUCAGUGUCAAAGUUUGCGUCGAUGUAACCCUUUACGACGAGCUCUUCAUCAGCUCCAUAAACGAGAAACAUUUCCUUAGUCCUUUUCAGGUACUUCAGAAUAUUCUUGACCGCCGUCUAGUGAUCCACUCCUGGAUUACUUUGAAACCUGUCUGCCAUACUUAUGGCCAAGCUGACGUCUGGUCUAGUGCACAACAUUGCAUACAUGACAGAACCUAUGGUUAAAGCAUAGGGGACGGAACUCAUUUGUUCUCUAUCUUCCACAGUUGCUCGGCACUGAGUCUUACUCAAUUUUAUACCUUGUAAUACUGGCAAGAACCCUUUCUUGGACUGAUCCAUUUUGAACUUCUUCAAAACUUUAUCAAGGUAUGUGCUUUGUGAAAGUCCUAUCAGGCGUUUCGAUCUAUCCCUAUAGAUCUUAAUGCCUAGAAUGUAAGCAGCUUAUCCUAGGUCCUUCAUAGAGAAACUUUUAUUCAAGUAAUCCUUUAUGCUCUCCAAAAGCUCCACGUUGUUUCCAAUCAGCAAUAUGUCAUCCACAUAUAAUAUUAGAAACGCCACAGAUCUCCCACUCACUUUCUUGUAAAUACAAGAUUCUCCAACCAAUUGUAUAAACACAAAUGCUUUGAUCACCUCAUCAAAGCGCUUAUUCCAGCUCCGAGAUGCUUGCACCAGUCCAUAAAUGGAUCGCUGGAGUUGCAUACUUUGUUAGAAUUCUUUGGAUCGACAAAACCUUCGGGUUGCAUCAUAUAGAACUCUUCCUUAAGAAAACCGUUAAGGAACGCCGUUUUGACAUCCAUCUGCCAAAUUUCAUAAUCGUAAAAGGCAACUAUUGCUAACAUGAUUCGGACAGAUUUAAGCAUCGCUACCGGUGAGAAAGUCUCAUCAUAGUCAACUCCUUGAACUUGUGAAAAACACUUUGCCACAAGUUGAGCUUUAUAAACGGUUACAUUACCGUCUGCGUCCGUCUUCUUCUUAUAGAUCCAUUUGUUCUGAAUAGCCUUGCGGUCUUCAGGUAGUACUUCCAAAGUCCACACUUUGUUCUCGUACAUGGAUCCUAUCUCGGACUUCAUGGCCUCCAGCCAUUUGUUGGAAUCCGGGCCCACCAUUGCUUCUUCAUAAUUCGCAGGUUCAUUGUUGUCUAACAACAUGAGUGAUAAGACAGGAUUACUGUACCACUCAGGUGUAGUACGUGAUCUUGUCGACCUCCGAGGUCCGAUAGGAACUUGAUCCGAAGUUUCAUGAUCAUCAUCAUUAACUUCCUCCUCAACCUGCGUCGCUUCGACAGAGGUUUCCCCCUGCCCUACGCCACCAUCUAGAGGGAAUAGAGGUUCGACAACCUCAUCAAGUUAUAUCUUCCUCCCACUCAAUUCUUUCGAGAGAAACUCCUUCUCAAGAAAAGCUCCAUUCUUAGCAACAAAUACUUUGCCCUCGGAUUUGAGAUAGAAGGUGUACCCAACUGUCUCCUUUGGGUAACCUAUGAAGACACACUUUUCUGCUUUGGGUUCCAGCUUUUUAGGCUGAAGCUUUUUGACAUAAGCAUCACAUCCCCAAACUUUAAGAAACGACAACUUCGGUCUUUUGCCAUACCACAGCUCGUAUGGUGUCAUCUCAACGGAUUUUGAUGUUGUCCUAUUUAAAGUGAAUGCAGCUGUCUCUAAUGCAUAACCCCAAAACAAUAAUGGCAAAUCGGUAAGAGACAUCAUAGACCGCACCAUUUCUAACAAAGUACGAUUACGACGUUCGGACACACCAUUACACUGUGGUGUUCCAGGUGGUGUCAACUGUGAAACAAUUCCACAUUGUCUUAAGUGAGCACCAAACUUGGAACUCAGAUAUUCACCCCCAUGAUCAGAAUGUAGGAACUUGAUCUUCUUGUUACGAUGAUUUUCCACUUCACUCUGAAAUUGCUUGAACUUCUCAAAUGUUUCAGACUUAUGCUUCAUCAAGUAGAUAUAUCCAUACCUACUCAAAUCGUCAGUGAAGGUGAGAAAAUAACGAUAUCCACCGCGCGCCUCCACACUCAUCGGACCGCACACAUCGGUAUGUAUGAUUUCCAACAAGUCACGUGCACGCUCCAUUGUUCGGGAGAACGAAGUCUUAGUCAUCUUGCCCAUGAGGCAUUGUUCGCACGUGUCAAGUGAUUCAAAAUCAUGUGACUCCAAAAGCCCAUCGGAAUGGAGUUUCUUCAUGCGCUUUACACCAAUAUGACCUAAGCGGCAGUGCCACAAAAACAUGGCGCUAUCAUUGUUAACUCUAUAUCUUUUGGUCUCAGUGUCAUGUAUAUGUGUAUCAUUGCUAUCAAGAUUCAAUAUGAACAAUCCUCUCACAUUGGGUGCAUGACCAUAAAAGAUAUUACUCAUAGAAAUAGAACAACCAUUAUUCUCUGAAUUAAACGAGUAACCGUCUCGCAAUAAACAAGAUCCAGAUAUAAUGUUCAUGAUUAACGCAGGCACUAAAUAACAAUUAUUUAAGUUCAUAACUAAUCCUGAUGGUAACUGAAGUGAGACUAUGCCGACGGCGAUUGUAUCAAUCUUGGAACCAUUUCCCACGUGCAUCGUCACAUCAUCCUUCGCCAGCCUUCGUUUAUUCCGCAGUUCCUGCUUCGAGAUGCAAAUAUGAGCAACAGAACCGGUAUCAAAUACCCAGGCACUACUACGAGAGUUGGUUAAGUACACACCAAUAACAUGUAUAUCAAAUAUACCUGAUUUUUCCUUGGCCAUCUAAUUAUCAGCCAAAUACUUGGGGCAGUUGUGCUUCUAGUGACCCAUUCCCUUGCAAUAAUAACACUCUGUUUCAGGCUUAGGUCCAGCCUUCGAUUUCUUCGUCGGAUGGGCAACAGGCUUGCUGCUCUUCUUGGAGUUACCCUUCUUGCCUUUGUCGUUUCUCUUGAAACCAGUGGUCUUAUUGACCAUCAACACUUGAUGCUCUUUCCAGAGUUCUGACUCUACGACUUUCAGCAUCGUGAAUAACUCGCCGGGCGACUUGUUCAUCCCUUGCAUAUUAUAGUUCAACACAAAGCUCUUAUAGCUAGGUGGUAGUGAUUGAAGAAUUCUGUCAGUGAUAGCCUCUUGCGGGAGUUCAAUCCCCAGCUCAGCUAGAAGGUUUGAGUACCGAGACAUUUUGAGCACAUGUUCACUGGCACACGAAUUCUCCUCCAUUUUGCAAGCAUAGAAUUUAUCGGAGGUCUCAUACCUCUCGAUCCGGGCGUUCUUCUGAAAGAUAAACUUCAAGUCCUGGAACAUCUCAUAUGCUCCAUGACGCUCAAAGCGACGUUGAAGUCCCGGUUCCAAGCCAUACAAAAUUGCACAUUGAACUACUAAGUAGUCCUCCUUACGUGUUAACCAGGUGUUCGAAACAUCUUGGCUAGACGUAGCGGGUGGUUCAUCUCCUAGCGCAACAUAAAGGACAUAAUCCUUCUUCCCAGCUUGCAGGAGCAGCUUUAGAUUAUGAGCCCAGUCUACACAGUUGCUUCCAUCAUCUUUCAACUUAGCUUUCUCUAGGAACAUAUUAAAAUUCAGGGUUGCUACUGCGUGAGCCAUUGAUCUACAACACAAAUAUUGCAAAGUGGACUAGACUAUGUUUAAGAUAAUUAGAGUUUAACUAAUCAAAUUACUCAUAUACUCCCACUCAAAAAGUACAUCUCUCUAGUCAUUUGAGUGGUACAUGAUCCAAAUUCACUAAUGAAAGGACGUGGAUGUCGCCUAGAGGGGGGGUGAAUAGGCGCUUUAAAAUAAUUAAGGUUUAGGCUUGAACAAAUGCAGAAUAAAACUAACAUUUAAUAGGUCAAGCACAAAACCUAUAAACAACUAGGCUCACCUAUGUGCACCAACAACUUAUGCUAAGCAAGAUAAACAACUAAGUGAUAGCAAGAUAUAUUACAAUAAACAAUAUGUCUAUCACAAAGUAAAGUGCAUAAGUAAAGGGUUCGGGUAAGAGAUAACCGAGGCACGGGGAGACGAUGAUGUAUCCCGAAGUUCACACCCUUGCGGAUGCUAAUCUCCGUUAGAGCGGUGUGGAGGCACAAUGCUCCCCAAGAUGCCACUAAGGCCACCGUAAUCUCCUCACGCCCUCGCACAAUGCAAGAUGCCGUGAUUCCACUAAGGGAACCUUGAGGGCGGUCACCGAACCCGUACAAAUGGAAAACCUUGGGGCGAUCACCGGACCCGUACAUGUGGCAACCCUUGGGGGCGGUUACCGGUACCCGUACAAAUUGCUCGGGGCUAUCUCCACAACCUAAUUGGAGGCCCCGACGCUUGCCCGAAGCUUCACACCACAAUGAUUGAGCUCCGAGACACCACCAAGCUUCUUAACUUCUCACUUCCACGUAUCACCGUGGAGAACUCAAACCGAUGCAACUAAUGCAAUGGCAAGAACACACGAAGUGGUCAAGUCCCUCACACUCAAAUCCCUCCACAACAACAAAAGCUAUGGAGAAAUAUGAGAGGAAGAACAAGGAGCUCACAAAGAAAUCCAAGAUCUAGAUCCAAGGGGUUCCCCUCACAUAGAGGAGAAAGUGAUUGGUGGAUAUGUGGAUCUAGAUCUCCUCUCUCUUUUCCCUCAAGAACAAGCAAGAAUCAUUGGAGGGAUUGAGAGUUAGCAAGCUCUAAGAAUGUCAACAAUGGAGGUAGAACAAGAGCUCAACGGAGAGAUGAGGCCAAGGGGGAAGAAGACCCCCUUUAUAUAGUGGGGGAAGGAAUCAGACCGUUACCCCCACUUACAGCCCGAGCCCAGCGGUACUACUGCUGGCUCCAGCGGUACUACCGCUGACCCUCCGGCGGUACUACCGCUGGCUGCAGCGGUACUACCACUGACCCUCCCGCAGUACUACCGCUCGCUGCAGCGGUACUACCGCUGAGCCCAUGGUAGCGCAAAGAUACUACCGGGCCAACCACCGACAAGAAAGUCUUCGCAAAAAUGUCCGACGCAGUACAACCGCAAAGAUGACGGUACUAAAAACUUGGAGCGGUACUACCGCUGGGACAGCGGUACUACCGCCAGCUCUAGCGGUACUACCGCCGGCUCUCGCGGUACUACCGCUAGGUCCAGCGGUACUACCCCUCGCCACUGAAACAGCCAUAACUUUCGCAUACGAGCUCCGAAUCGAGCAAACCAAGCUUGUUGGAAAUCUUAAGACCAUGCAGAUAUGAAAAUGCCAAUGAUAUAGAGAUGUGAGUCCUCUAUGAAUGAAGAACAAGCAAAAACUCCAACAUCGAAAACAUCAUAGUAGAUGCAUAUGGACUCCGUUUUCGAUGAACUCGAGCUUGUCACGAAGAUGACCAUAAGCUCUAAAACUCACAAAGAGAAAGACCAAACAAGAACCAAGAAGUAUGAUGCAAGGAUGCAAAUGGUUUGAGCUCUCAACGAAUGAUACGAUCAAGCUACUCACUUGAGAGCCCCCCUUGAUAGUACAACAAUCUAUCCUAAACAAAAAACCUAUCAAGGGAAAACCUAUACCUUGCACCUCGUCCUCUUGAGCUAGAUGAUGACCACCUUUCUUGAUUGUGUUGGCUUGAUGAAGACUAGUUGAUUGCUCCCCCAUACUCACUAUGGGUCAGCCACUCUUCAGCAUAUCUUCACAAGCCCAUUGCCACCACAAUGGACGGCAAGCUUCAAGCAUGAUAUCUUCGUGUUGAUCCACUUGAACUUGCACAUCGCAAUCUUGAUGACGAUCACAACUUGACGUCAUACUUCAUGGGUUGUAUGAGAUCUUCCCUUUGACGCAAGCCCAUGGAAACACACCUAACCCCCACAUAGAACUCUCACGAAGACCAUGGGUUAGUACACAAACACGUAAUGGACAAUGCUUACCAUACCAUGGCAUCACUUGAUCCCUCUCGGUACAUCUUGUACGCUUUGUGUGUUGAUCAUCUUGAUUUACUCUUUGUCUGAGAUCUUGAUCAACCAUGUGUCUCUAUGACCAUACUUUGGAUAAUACCUUGAAUACCAUCUUGGUCAUCAUAUAAACUCCUUGAACCCAACAGAUGGACUUCAAGAAGUGCCUAUGGACAAAUCCUAUAAAUGUAACUUAAGGCAACCAUUAGUCCAUAGGAAUUUUCAUCAAUUACCAAAACCACAUAUGGAGAUAUAUGAUCUAACAACUAACUCAAGUCCGAUCGUCACGUUAGUUGAGAAUAGUUUCAGUGGUAAGCAUCUCUAUGCUAAUCAUAUCAACUAUACGAUUCAUGCUCGAUCUUUCGGUCUCAUGUGUUCCAAGGCCAUGUCUGCACAUGCUAGGCUCAUCAAGUUUAAACCGAGUGUUCCGCGUGUGCAACUGUUUUGCACCCGUUGUGUGUGAACGUUGAGUCUAUCACACCCGAUCAUAACAUGGUGUCUCGAAACGAUGAACUGUCACAAUGGUGCACUGUCGGGGAGAACACAAUUUCAUCUUGAAAUUUUAGUGAGAGAUCACCUUAUAAUGCUACCGUUGUUCUAAGCAAAAUAAGGUGCAUAAAAGGAUUAACAUCACAUGCAAUUCAUAAGUGACAUGACAUGGCCAUCAUCUUGUGCUUCUUGAUCUCCAUCACCAAAGCACCGGCAUGAUCUUCUUGUCACCGGAGCCACACCAUGAUCUCCAUCAUCAUGCAGCCAUCGAGGUUGUCGUGCUAUCUAUGCUAUUACUACUAAAGCUAUGACCUAGCAAUAUAGUAAACGCAUCUGCAAACACAAAAGUUAGUUUAAAGACAACCCUAUUGCUCCUGCCGAUUGUCAUAGCAUCGACGUGCAAGUCGAUAUUAACUAUUACAACAUGAUCAUCUCAUACAUCCAAUAUAUCACAUCACAUCAUUGACCAUAUCAUAUCACAAGCAUACCCUGCAAAAACAAGUUAGACGUCCUCUAAUUUGUUGUUGCAUGUUUUACGUGGCUACUAUGGGUAUCUAGUAUGAUCGCAUCUUACUUACGCAAAAAUCACAACGGAGAUGUGCAAAUUGCUAUUUAACCACUCUCUAAGGACCGCCUCGGUCAAAACCAAUUCAACUAAAGUUGAAGAAACAGGCACCCGCCAGUCAUCUAUGCAACGAUUUGCAUGUUAGUCGAUGAAACCAUUCUCUCGUAAGCGUACGAGUAAUGUCGGCUCGGGCCGCUUCAAUCCAACAAUACCGCCGAAUCGAGAAAAGACUAAAGAGGGCAGAAAAUCGAACAUCAACGCCCACAAAACCUUUUGUGUUCUACUCGAGAUAACAUCUACACAUGAACCUACCUCAUGAUGCCACUGUUGGGGAACGUUGCAUGAGAAACAAAACAAAAAAUCCUACGCACACAAAGACCUAUCAUGGUGAUGUCCAUCUACGAGAGGAUAUUAGAUCUAUGUACCCUUGUAGAUCGCUAUCGAGAAGCAUUAAGAAACGCGGUUGAUGUAGUGGUACAGCUUCGUGAUUCAAAUCACCGUCGUCCCAUGAUCCGUCGCACAAUCCGUUCUGAUCUACCACCGAACGGACGACACCUCCGCGUUCAGCACACGUACAGCUUGAUGACGAUCUCGGACUUCUUGAUCCAGCAAGAGACACGGGGAAGUAGAUCAGUUCUUCGGGAGCGUGACGGCGCUCCGGUGGUGGUGAUGAUCUACUCCUGCAGGGCUCUGCCCGAGCUCCGCAGAAAUCCGAUCUAGAGGUAAAACUACAUGGUAUAGGUUUGAGUUGCACGUGGCAAAGUUGUGUCUCAAAAGCCCUAAAACCACCAGUAUAUAUAGGAGGAGGGGAGGGGCUAGCCUUGGGGCUCAAGGAGCCCCUUGGUGCGCCGGCCAAAGGGAGGAGGUGGACUCCCACCCCAAUUCGGUUUGGGGGAAGGAGUCCACUCCUGCCUUCCCACCUCCCUCUUUCCUUUGGUGUUUUCCACUUGUGGCGCCAUGGCCCUCUUGGGAUGGCCUUACCAGCCCACUAAGGGCUGGUGCGCCACCCUAGGGUCAGUGGGCUCACUCCCGGGGGGGUGGGCCCCUCCCGGUGAAUACCCAGAACCCAUUCGUCACUCCCGGUACACUGCCGGUAAUGCCCGAAACUUUCCGCAGACCAAAUGAAACCAUCCUAUAUAUCAAUCUUCGUUUCCGGACCAUUCCGGAAACCGUCCUGACGUUUGUGAUCUCAUCCGGGACUCCGAACAACAUUCGGUAACCACACAUAUAACUCAACUAUACUAAAACAUCAUCGAACCUUAAGUAUGCAGACCCUGUCCAUUAAUGCAAAUCCAAAUCUCGCCCGAUACGGUCGUCUCCCUCCUCUCGUCACUUUCCCUCUGUGCACACACCUUCCAUGGUAGGGGAAACCAAAUCCCCACCUUUCCCGAUCUCCCUCUCCCUUCCUUCCCCGCACCUCCCUCGCCCCCUAUAAAUACCGGAGCAUCCAGCACACCCCAUUCCCCUCGCCACCGCCCAGAUUCACCGCCUCCACACCCCCUUGCAGAGCUUGCCGGAGCAGAGCUACGGGAGCUCGCCGCGGCGCCCUGCCGCACCUCCCCUCGCCUCCUGCCGCCGGCAGGAGCACCCCCACCCCGGCCGCACCCCAUUUCCCCCCUCAAACCCGAGCUCCAGCACCUCCAUGCCCCAUGCCGACGUCAACUCCUGCCGGCCAACCUCCCAGCCACGGUGAGGUCUGCAUCAUCUCUUUUUCUUCUUUUUUUCAUCGUUAGAUCUAGAUCGUAGGGUGUAGAUUAGAAAGGGACUUACCCCUUCGGUUUUUUAAAAGAACCGUCCGGCCUGUUAAGUUAUUUAUUUCACCGAAACGUUCUUCUUACAUAUCGGCCAUUUUCUAGAUUAGCUCUAGCAGCGCACGGUUUCAGCCAAUCAGAGCAUGCCACGUCACCGUUUUCUUUUCUAUUUUAAAUCUGUAACACAAAUAGUUAUGUUUUUUGUUUUUUUUAAAUAACUUUUAAUCUACAAAUCCAAUUAAGGUAAUUCUUUUUUCAUUAGAUCAGAAAUUUUAUGUAGUUUCCGAAAAUAUAACAUUUGACUAUGUUUGAGUUUAUACAAUUUGAGUUAGAACAGAUUUUGUUUCAAUAUUAUUUUGUGAAUACAGGGAGUUUAAAAAUAGAUUUUUAAUUGAUUCUUUUUUCUACUGAUCACUACUGAUCUUAUUUACCAGUAGGUUUAAUUCCAGAAUUUUUAAGAUAUUUUAUCUUGUGGUUUUCACCAAAAAAGAUUCUGAUUUGGUUAUGGAAGACAAAUUUUCACCUUGUGCUAUAGCUAUUCCUUUAUUAGAUGCUUUAUUUUGAUUACUUAUCAUUGUGGUGCUUAUUGUGUGAAUUUGUUUGUGUCGAUAGAUCACCCGGAGUGCGAAGCUUGUUAUCUAGAAGCGUUCGAGUUCGAUAGUCGUCAGCAAGGCUAGUCACGUUGAUCAUAUUUCCUAUGUUUUAUAUGCAUUGUAGAUCAACCUUUCUUCACCUAUUGCAUGCUAAGUAGGAACUCGAAAAAUUGGUUCUUGAUGUAGUAUCAUGUGGUAGGCACCCAUCACCCUUGUUACUUGGCCCGGGACGAUAUAUGUUAUUUUGCUAUGCUUAAGUAGACGGGGUUUUGGUUGAGAGUCUAUCACGAGUGUUGUGAGAAAAUUUUAAUAAUCCAGACCGGAUAUGUCAAGACUUUCAAGACCUCGUGAUACAAUAUACCUCUGGGUGAAGGACGGUUUUGAUGGGCCCCUUGGGAUAAACCAGCGGAGGACCCGGGAUGCAUGGAGAAGCGCCAUGACAUCUUGUGGAAAGCUUCACCCAGGCACGAAGAGAUGGAUGGAUGCUUCAAGACCCAAGGCUUACCUGCACAGCCACAAGUCACUAUGGGCUUUGGCUUGGUUGGACGAUGCAGCGACUCUGGACGGGCGAUGCUACGAGAUGUAGAAGAACGGUAGGAUUGGAUGGGCACCGAUACAGGCUCAGAGGAACCCGUUGAAAGACCAUGUUUUGAUCAUCCGGCCCUAAAACACCCUGUAGUGCGAGGACAUUCAACGAAGGCGAUCAAAUCUUGUGGGGAACGUGUGCAAAACUCUGUAGAGUACCCAAACCUAAUCGAUUAGCCGUGUCCACGGACAUGGACGACUUGAGCAGAAGGAACUGAAACUAUCUGGAAUUCUCAACACAAUUAAUAAUGAUGUGGGUAUUAUUGACAACUUGGGUAUGAGAAUUGGUUGGUGGAACCAUCUCGUUAACAACCAACAAUAUAGUAAUAUUUUGCUUUUAGCCCUCUCUUGUUGUAGAAGAAAACCUUGCUUUCCGCUAUAAACUUACAAGCCCCACCUGCCAUUUAUGCAUGUAGAACAGGUGAUACUUUUCACCUCUCUCUUUUGUGACUUGCCGGCGUAUUCAAUAUGCUGACCUACACGGCUGCAACGUGUCAUGUUGCGGAGUACUUUUCCGACCAGGAGUGAGGUCACGGUCUACGCUCGGUGAUAUGCCCUGGAGUCAUAUGGACCCUACUACUUUUGAAGCUUCCGCUAGUCUUCGUUAGUUAUCUCAUGAGUUUGUCCUUCAGCCUCUUUAUUGUAAUAUUUAUUGUAAUAAAGUACUCGAUAUGAGAUCUGAUUCAUAAAGUUGUGUGAUUGAACUCUCGAUAUAUACAUUGAUGUAUUGUGUGUGUACCAGCAUGAUCUUGGGAUGGUACAGAAACACCAGAGACUUGGCCGUUUCAGGCCGGGUCGCUACAGAUAUGGUAUCAGAGCACACGCUCAAUGUAGGACGUAACCUCUAGGAUUGGAAAAGCCUUAGGAAGAAAACUAUUUUAUUAUAUCUUUAAAUCUUCUAUAUUUUCUCUUCUGCUCAUUUCUGACUUCUCUCCUAUCUUCCAAUAUUUUCUAGAUGGCCACCUUCAUCCCCGUUAAGAUCACGGAGUUUUGCCAGCCCGACGCCUCAAUGCCUUUCGGAAAGUAGCUGAUCCAGAUCACCAAGUACUUAAGGAUUGCUUUGUCGACCAUCACCAGGAAGCCUACCUCGUCUUACCCGGAAGAUACACUCUACAAUAUUGAGGUGCACAUCCCCGGAAGAACUUUUGAGCCGCGCACAGAACCUGUGGAGUUCAAGUUCAUCACACCCAGCUGGAUUCUCGGCAGGGACAUAGCGGUUCACUGUGCACUCGGAAGAAUCAAGGAGGAGUACAGAGGUUGUCCCAUCUCACCGGACUUGUUCACGGUCUCUCGGAGAGGAGCUGAUGGAGAAAUCAUUCUGACCAAGACUGACGACGCUCUCCUAUCCUAUGCUCAAACCAUGGAGGCAUAAAUCAGAACUCUGGAGAUUCGUGUUGGCAAUGACACGAAGAGGAUCAAGCAACUGUCGCUCCACGAACUCGACCUCGAAGAAGAAGCCCGAGAAGCCCACUAUGAGCAUGAAUUGGAGGUGAAGGACUUCUUGGAGAGGAUCGAGAAGCUGAAGGCUCGCGUUGCAUAUCUGGAGGAAGAAUUGGACAUGGGCGAGAACCUUCACCCUGAAGGAGAUGUAGCCCCCUUGAUCAGCAAUGAGGAGGACUACGAAGCAAGCUCUACCAACGGACCCACCACCAUGCUUUUCUGAGGAGGACACAUAGACAAGUCCACCAAUUUAUCUUAUCGUUAAACGUUUAGACCAAUGUUUAGGAUAUCACCACUUGUAUCCCCGUGAUUGAACCUUUUGUGGUGAUAAUGAAUAAAUGUGUGGUGUGAUAAUUGUUUUGUUGCAUUUAAUAUGGGUAGUGUAAUUACUCUUUAGACCCUUGUUCUAUGAUAAUCCCAUCCCUCUAGAAACACGAGAUGCCUCCGAGACGUGACCCUGCUUCCAACUUCCCGCCGGAACUUGCUCAGUUGAUCCAACAACAGAACACCAUGAAGCAGUUCCUCAUUCAGAAUCAGAACAACAACAACCACCAUCAUCCACCCAGGCCGACAAUCUCACCCGCUUUCUGAGGUUGAACCCUCCGACUUUCUCCAGCAGCGUUGAGCCCAUUGUGGCAGAUGAUUGGCUCCGCAAGAUGGAGAGAGAACUAAUCACUCCUGGAUGUACUGAAGCUGAGAAGGUACGCUUUGCCGCGCACCAACUUGAAGGACCCGCAGCUGCUUGGUGGGAGAACUACACCACCACAUACCCCAUUGUUGGAGUGACUUGGGAGCAGUUCAAGCAAGCCUUCCGCACCGCUCAUGUCUCAGCUGGAGCCAUGAGUCUGAAGAAGCAUGAGUUUCGCAACUUACGCCAGGGAACUCACUCUCUGGGUCAGUAUGUUGAUGAAUUCAGCAUGCUUGCCCGAUAUGCGCCUGGAGAUGUGGCCGAUGAUGCGGCCAAGCAGGAGAAGUUCAUGUAAGGACUCAACGAUGAGUUGAGCAUUCAGCUGACUGUGGCCAACUUCAACAACUACCAGGAGCUGGUAGAUAAGGCCCUCAUCUUGGAGGGGAAACAACAGCAGAUGGAGAACCGCAAACUGAAGUAUGGACAUGGGAAGUUUAAUUCUGACGUUCAGCACAAGCCUCGUUACACCCCCUAUCCAGGGAACACCGGAGCAGGAGUCGGUAAGUUUGGAGGACACGUCCAGCAUAACCAUCGAGUGCACAAUCAUGGAGGCCACAACCAUGGAGAAAAUGGGAACAACCGCAAUGGCGGAAAUUUCAAGAAUGGUAAUGGAGGUAAUGGCACUCAGCACCAUCCCGCUCCAUCUCAGAAGGAUCUGAACCAUAUCACCUGCUUCAAGUGCCAGAAGACGGGACACUAUGCCACUGAAUGUCCCCAGAACAAGCAGGGAAAUGGAAACGACAAUGGCAACCUAGCAGCAAGGAAGCCCAAUCCUUUUCCCCGAGCUCAGGUGAACCACAUUGAUGUUGAAGAGGUCUAUGAUCACCCGGAUACAGUGGUUGGUAAGUUUUUGCUAAAUUCACGUCGAGUAUUGGUACUUUUUCAUUCUGGUGCAACACAUUCAUUCAUAUCAAGGGUAGUUGUGGAAAAGUAUAGUUUACCAACUAGAACCCUGAGCCAGCCCACUAAGGUCAGUUCCCCAGGAGGCAUGAUGACAGCCGGGAUAGGAUUCCAUGCAUUGAGUCUCAACAUUGGGAACCAUAAGUUUCCCACCGACCUCAUCGUAUUAGAGUCUCAGGGAUUAGAUGUAAUCCUAGGCAUGGAUUGGUUGGCCAAGUAUGAAGGAAAUAUUGAUUGUGCCCUUAAGUCUAUUUUGCUCACCACCCCCGAGAAUAAACGGAUUAAGUACGUAUCCCAACGCCCGUCAAGGAGUAAACGAUUAAAUUCUCUCACGGGAGUAGUUCAGGGGGAAGUGUCGGUUGUACAAGACUUCCCAGAUGUAUUUCCGGAGGAAUUGUCGGGCAUGCCACCGGAUAGGGAGAUUCAGUUCCUGAUUGAGCUUUUACUCGGAAGAGCCCCAAUAUCCAAGAGACCCUAUCGGAUGCCCGCAAGUGAUUUAGUGGAAAUCAAGAAGCAAAUUAAGGAGUUGAUGGACAAGGGGUAUAUUCGCCCGAGUUCUUCACCUUGGGGAGCCCCAGUUCUCUUGAUUUAAAAGAAGGACAAAUCCUUGAGAAUGGUAGUCGAUUAUCGUGCAUUGAACGAGGCGGCCAUCAAGAACAAGUAUCCCUUGCUGAUGAACAAUGAUUUGUUUGACCAGUUAGUUGGAGCCCGAGUGUUCUCCAAGAUCAAUCUUCGAUCCGGGUAUCAUCAGCUAAAAAUUCGUGAACAAGAUAUACCCAAGACAGCCUUGACCACAAGGUAUGGUCUGUAUGAGUACACACUCAUGUCAUUUGGUUUGACUAAUGCUCCGGCAUAUUUUAUGAGUAUGAUGAACAAGGUAUUUAUGGAAUACUUGGACAAGUUUGUCGUGGUGUUCAUCGAUGACAUACUGAUAUUCUCCAAGAACGAGGAAGAACACAAGGAACACUUGUGUCUAGUUUUGGAGAAACUUUGAGAGCAUCGGUUGUAUGCGAAGUUCAGCAAAUGUGAAUUUUGGUUGAAGGAAGUCGGAUUCCUCGGACAUAUUAUUUCGGGAGACGGAAUAGCAGUGGAUCCUACCAAGGUUGCAGCAGUCAUCGAAUGGGUAGCACCCAUUUCAGUUAAGGAGAUCCACAGUUUCCUCGGACUUGCCGGAUAUUAACGGAGGUUUAUCGAAAAAAAUUCAAAGAUUGCCAAGCCCAUGACAGAGUUGUUGAAGAAGGAGUCCAAGUAUAGUUGGAGCAAGGAAAGUGAAUCCAGUUUCCAAGAGUUGAAGAAACGUUCGGUUACAGCCCCAGUGCUGAUAUUGCCUAACAUUUGGAAGGAUUUCCAGCUUUAUUGUGACGCUUAUCGUCAAGGACUCGGAGGAGUACUCAUGCAAGAAGGAAAAGUUGUAGCCUAUGCAUCCAGACAGAUCAGAACUCGUGAGUUGAAUUAUGCCACGCAUGAUUUGGAGCUCGCAGCCAUAGUGCACGCACUCAAGACCUGGAGACAUUUCCUUAUUGGAAAUAGUUGUGAUAUUUACACUGAUCACAAGAUCUUGAAAUAUAUCUUCACGCAGAAGGAGUUGAACCUCAGACAGAGAAGAUGGCUAGAGUUGAUCAAGGACUAUGACAUGAGAUUGCAUUAUCAUCCAGGAAAGGCAAAUGUUGUAGCAGAUGCUUUGAGCCGUAAGAGUUAUGUGAGCACACUCAUAGCGGGAGGAUUAACCCAAGAGUUAGCCGAUGAUCUCAGAGAACUCAAGUUGGAGAUAGUCCUAAGAGGAUAUGUGACCACGCUAGAAAUUCAGUCCACCUUGACCGGAAAAAUCCAUGAAGCUCAGAAGUCAGACAAGGAAAUAGCUGAGAUUAAGCAAAGAAUGAAUGAUGGAAAGGCUAAAGGUUUUCGUGAGGAUGAACACGGAACUAUAUGGUUUGAGGACAACAUCUAUGUGCCCAAUGAUCCUGAACUCAGGAAGUUGAUACUUCAGGAGGCCCAUGAUUCCCCGUACUCGAUACAUCCAGGCAACACCAAGAUGUAUCUGGACUUAAAGGGAAGUUUCUGGUGGACAGGAAUGAAGAAGGACAUUGCCGAGUUUGUAGCAAUAUGCGAUGUUUGUCAACGAGUAAAGGCCGAGCAUCAGAAGCCAGCAGGAUUACUUCAACCUUUGCCGAUACCCGAGUGGAAAUGGGAGAAGCUUGGUGUGGACUUCAUCACAGGAUUACCUAAGACCCGUUCAGGUUAUGAUUCUAUCUCGGUAGUGGUGGAUCAUUUGACCAAGGUAGCUCACUUCAUUCCCGUGAAGACUACCUACAAGAGUGCUAAGCUGGCCAAGAUCUAUAUGACCAGGAACAUAUGUCUGCAUGGAGUUCCAAGGAGUAUCGUGUCAGAUAGAGGAACCCAGUUCACGUCAAAGUUUUGGCACCAACUUCACGAAACCUUGGGAACGAGGUUGGAGUUAAGUACAACUUUUCACCCACAGACCGAUGGAUAGACCGAGAGAGUCAAUCAGAUUCUGGAGGACAUGUUGAGAGCUUGUGCACUAGACUAUGGGUCUAGCUGGGACGACAAUUUGCCUUAUGUCGAGUUCUCAUACAACAACAGCUAUCAGACCAGUCUGAAGAUGGCCCCUUUCUAAGCUUUAUACAGAAGGAGGUGUCGAACACCAUUGAUGUGGGAUGGUGUUGGUGACCGAAUACUUUUUGGUCCCGACCUCAUCCGAGAUUCCGAAGAGAAGGUCAAGCUGAUCCGUGACCGACUCAAGAUAACUCAGUCCAGACAGAAGAGUUAUGCUGAUAGCAAACGCAAGGAAGUAACAUACGAAGUGGGAGACCGAGCAUAUCUUCGUGUGUCCCCACUUCGAGGAAUCAAGAGAUUUGGUGUAAAAGGAAAGUUAGCACCCCGAUUCAUUGCCCCCUACAAAAUUCUUGAACGUAGAGGUGAAGUUGCUUACAAGUUGGAAUUGCCAGAAGGAUUGCCCGGAGUUCAUGAUGUUUUCCAUGUUUCCCAGUUGAAGAAAUGCCAUGCUGAUAUGACUGAUAUUCCAUUGAGAGAUACAGUGCCCCUAGAGGCCAUAUAGCUUGACAGUGAUCUGACUUACGAGGAGAAACCCGUCCAGAUUCUCGAGACUGCCAACAGAGUUACCCGCAACAAGGUUAUCAAGUUUUGUAAGGUCUUGUGGAGUCAUCACACCGAGGAAGAAGCCACGUGGGAACGAGAAGAAGAUCUUCGUCGAGACCACCUCCACCUAUUUUCUAGCCAACCCGAAUCUCGAGGGCGAGAUUCAUCUUAAGGUGGGUAGGUUUGUAACAUCCCAAAUUUCCUAUUUGGAAUGUUUAACAACUGUAGCUAAGCAAUGCAUUUUGAUUGUAAUAAAGGUGGCAUUUAAAUUUCCUUCGAUUUUUGCUUCGCAUUUUAUUUUUCUUCACUCACGGAAUGUCGGGAAUAUUAUCUUGCCAAGCAAGAAAGAGUGGAAAAACAUGACCCUCCAAACCGGGGGUAUUUAUUUGAAAUAUUUGAACCAUAAAACCCAAGGUUUAUUUGAAAAAUGUUUGCAAAAAGAAAAUAAACCAAUUUAGGGAUUUUCUGUAAAAAACAUUUUUUCUAAAGUAUUUAUUUUGGCCGUGGAAAAAUGUCCAUCUUAUUGGAUUUAUUUUUCUAAUAAUUUUAAUAUAUAAUACCCCUAUAUUCCGAGUAUAUAUUAUUUCCUUUUAAUCGUUUUAUUUCCUGUUUCCAAAAAACAGGAAUAAAAUCUCUUUUAGUAAGAAAUUUUCACCGCCCCAUUAAUGCAAAUCCGAAUCUGGCCCGAUACGGUCGUCUCCGUCCUCUCGUCACUUUCCGUGUGUGCGCACACCUUCCAUGGCACGGGAAACCAAAUCCCCACAUUUCCCGGUCUCCCUCUCCCUUCUUUCCCCGCGCCUCCCUCGCCCCCUAUAAAUACCAGAGCAUCCACUACAUGCCAUUCCCCUCGCCACCGCCCUGAUUCGCCGCCUCCACGCCCCCUGCAGAGCUCGCCGGAGCAGAGCUACAGGAGCUCGUCGCGGCGCCCUACCGCGCCUCCCCUUGCCUACUGCCGCCGCCAGGAGCACCCCCACCCCGGCCGCACCCCAUUUCCCCCUCAAACCCGAGCUCCACCACUUCCACGCCCCACGCCGACGUCAACUCCGGCCGGCCAACCUCCCAGCCACGGUGAGGUCUGCCUCAUCUCUUUUUCUUCUUUUUGUUUUUUUUUUCACCGUUAGAUCUAGGUCGUAGGAUGUAGAUUAGAAAGGGACUUACCCCUUCGAUUCUUUAAAAAGAACCGGCCGGCCUGUUAAGUUAUUUAUUUAACCAAAACCUUUUUCUUACAUAUUGGCCAUUUGCUAGAUUAGCUCUAGCAGCGCACGGUUUCAGCCAAUCAGAGCAUGCCACGACACCGUUUUCUUUUCUAUUUUAAAUCUGUAACACAAAUAGUUUUGUUUUAGUUUUCUUAAUAAAUUUUAAUCUACAUAUCCAAUUAAGGUGAUUAUUUUUGAAUUAGAUCACAAAUUUUAUGUAGUUUCCGAAAAUAUAAAAUUUGACUGUGUUUGAAUUUAUAAAAUUUGAGUUAGAACAGAUUUGGUUUAAAUAUUAUUUUGUGAAUACCGGGAGUUUAAAAAUAGUUUUUUAAUUGAUUCUUUUUGCUACUGAUCACUAGUGAUCUUAUUUAUCGGUAGGUUUAAUUCCAGAAUUUUUAAGAUAUUUUAUCUUGGGGUUUUCACCAAAACAGAUUCUGAUUUGGUUAUGGAAGACAAUUUUUCACCUUGUGCUAUAGCUAUUCCUUUAUUAGAUGCUUUAUUUUGAUUACUUGUCAUUGUGGUUCUUCUUGUGUGAAUUUGUUUGUGUCGAUGGACCACUCGGAGUGUGAAUCUUGCUAUCUAGAAGCAUUCGAGUUCGACAGUCGUCAGCAAGGCAGUCAUGUUGAUCAUAUUUCCUAUGUUUUAUAUGCAUUGUAGAUAAACCUUUCUUCACCUAUUGCAUGCUAAGUAGGAACUCAAAAAAUUGGUUCUUCAUGUAGUAUCAUGUGGUAGGCACCCAUCACCCUUGUUACUUGGCCUGGGACGAUACAUGUUAUUUUGUUAUGCUUAAGUAGACGGGGUUUUGGUUGAGAGUCUAUCACGAGUGUUGUGAGAAAAAUUUAAUAAUCAAGACCGGUUAUGUCAAGACUUUUCGAGACCUCGUGAUGCAAUGCAACUCUGGGUGAAGGAGGUUUAGAUGGGCUCCCUGAGGAAACCAGUGGAUGACCCGGGAUGCAUGGAGAAGCGCCAUGACAUCUUGGGGAAAGCUUCACCCAGGCACGAAGGGAUGGAUGGAUGCUUCAAGACCCAAGGCUUACCUGCACAGCCACAAGUCAUUAUGGGCUCUGGCUUGGUUGGACAACGCGGCGACUCUAGACGGGCGGUGCUACGAGAUGAAGAAGAACGGUAGGAUUGGUUGGGCACCGACAGAGGCUCAGAGGAACCCGUUGAAAGACCAUGUUUUGAUCAUCCGGUCCUGAAACACCCUGUAGUGCGAGGACAUUCAACGGAGGUGCAAAACUCUGCAGAGUACCCAAACCUAAUCGAUUAGCCGUGUCCACGGACAUGGACGACUUGAGUCGAAGGAACUUAAACUAUCUGGAAUUCUCAACACAAUUAAUAAUGAUGUGGGUAUUAUUGACAACUUGGGUAUGAGAAUUGGUUGGUGGAACAAUCUCUUUAACAACCAACAAUAUAGUAAUAUUUUGCUUUUAGCCCUCUCUUGUUGUAGGAGAAAACCUUGCUUUCCGCUAUUAACUUACAAGCCCCACCUGCCAUUUAUGCAUGUAGAAUAGAUGAUACUUUUCACCUCUCUCUUUUGUGACUUGCCGGCAUAUUCAGUAUGCUGACCUACACAGCUGCAACGUGUCAUGUUGCAGAGUACUUUUCCGACCAGGAGUGAGGUCACUGUCUACGUUCGGUGAUAUGCCCUGGAGUCAGAUGGACCCUACUACUUUUGAAGCUUCUGCUAGUCUUCGUUAGUUAUCUCAUGAGUUUGGCCUUCAGCCUCUUUAUUGUAAUCUUUAUUGUAAUAAAGUACUCGAUAUGAGAUCCGAUUAAUAAAGCUGUGUGAUUUAACUCUCGAUAUAUACAUUGAUGUACUGUGUGUGUACCAGCAUUAUCUUGGGAUGGUACAGAAACACCAGAGACUUGGCCGUUUCAGGUCGCGUAGCUACAUUCGAGAAGUAUGUAGACAUGACCCGAGACACUCCUCGGUCAAUAUCCAAUAGCGGGACCUGGAUGCCCAUAUUGGAUCCUACAUAUUCUCCGAAGAUCUUAUCGGUUGAGCCUCAGUGCCAAGGAUUCAUAUAAUCCCGUAUGUCAUUCCCUUUGUCCUUCGGUAUGUUACUUGCCCGAGAUUCGAUCGUCGGUAUCCGUAUACCUAUUUCAAUCUCAUUACCGGCAAGUCUCUUUACUCGUUCUGUAAUACAAGAUCCCGUGACUUACACUUAUUCACAUUGCUUGCAAGGCUUAUUUGUGAUGUUAUAUUACCAAGUGGGCCCUGAGAUAUCUCUCCGUCACACGGAGUGACAAAUCCCAGUCUUGAUCCAUACUAACUCAACGGACACCUUCGGAGAUACCUGUAGAGUACCUUUAUAUUCACCCAGUUACGUUGCGACGUUUGAUACACACAAGGUAUUCCUCCGGUGUCAGUGAGUUAUAUGAUCUCAUGGUCAUAGGAAUAAAUACUUGGCACGCAGAAAACAAUAGCAACAAAAUAACACGAUCACAUGCUACGUUUAUAGUUUGGGUCUAGUCCAUCACAUGAUUCUCCUAAUGACGUGAUCCAGUUAUCAAGUGACAACACUUGUGUAUGGUCAGAAAACCUUGACCAUCCUUGAUCAAUUGGCUAACCAACUAGAGGCUUGCUAGGGACAUUGUUUUUUCUAUGUAUCCACACAUGUAUCUAUGUUUUCAUUCAAUACAAUUAUGGGAAACGUUUUCCGCCAGCGCUCUGGCCGAAACGUUCAUCCGGUCGCGUGACUAGCGUUGGAUCUACCAGAUCUCGCGUGCCCACCUGCGUCCUUCUCCUUUCCUCUCCCCCUUCCUCCUCCUCCUCCUUCUUCUUCUUCUUCCCUCCUCUCCCCCUUCCCCCCCUGCAACCUCACGCGUUGUCGGCGAGCGCUACGGCUUCUCCACUGGCAGCCGCUGCGCCUGACGGCGGUGACCGAAGGUGACCACGCGAGAUGCUGCUGCGGGGGCGACGGUUGAAACUUUUUUUAUAUACGGUUGAAGCUUUUUAUGUCAACGUUUGAAACUUUUUCCUCGUUGAAGUAUUUGGUUGAAGCUUUUUUUCUUAACGGUUGAAGCUUUUCUAUACACGGUUGAAACAAUUUUGAGGAGUGACCACGCGAGAUGCUGCAGCCAGAGCGGCGUUUGACUUUUUUUUUCAUAUAUGGUUGAAGAUUUUUCCGUCAACGUUUGCAACUUUCCCUCGUUGAAGUUUUUGGUUGAAGCUGUUUUUCUUAACGGUUGAAUCUUUUCUAUACACGGUUGAAACGUUUUUUUUUUCCAGCGUUUGCAACACAGGGGUGAGGUGUGAACGACGAGGUAAAGACCGACGGGCAUGAGCAGCGUCGAGUGCGCCGGCGAGCGGCGGGGGGCAGAGAAUGGUGGGCGAGCUGAGUCCCGGAGCGCUGGGCAGAGCAGUCUGGACGAGCUGAGUCGCGGAGCUGCAUCCAUGGUGCUUCGACGGGCGGUCGAGGCGGCGACCGGCGGCGACCGACGGUGAGGAAGACCAGCGGUGAGGAGGCGAGGCGAGGUGAGGCGGUCGGCGCAUGCUGGGGCGUCGGCGUGUGUGAAAAGGACGUGGAUGUCGCCUAGAGGGGGGGUGAAUAGGCGCUUUAAAAUAGUUAAGGUUUAGGCUUGAACAAAUGCGGAAUAAAACUAACGUUUAAUAUGUCAAGCACAAAACCUACAAACAACUAGGCUCACCUAUGUGCACCAACAACUUAUGCUAAGCAAGAUAAACAACUAAGUGAUAGCAAGAUAUAUUACAAUAAACAAUAUGUCUAUCACAAAGUAAAGUGCAUAAGUAAAGGGUUCGGGUAAGAGAUAACCGAGGCACGGGGAGACGAUGAUGUAUCCCGAAGUUCACACCCUUGCGGAUGCUAAUCUCCGUUAGAGCGGUGUGGAGGCACAAUGCUCCCCAAGAUGCCACUAAGGCCACAAUAAUCUCCUCACGCCCUCGCACAAUGCAAGAUGCCGUGAUUCCACUAAGGGACCCUUGAGGGCGGUCACCGAACCCGUACAAAUGGCAACCCUUGGGGGCGGUCACCGAACCCGUACACGUGGCAACCCUUGGGGGCGGUUACCGGUACCCGUACAAAUUGCUUGGGGCAAUCUCCACAACCUAAUUGGAGACCCCGACGCUUCCCGGAGCUUCACACCACAAUGAUUGAGCUCCGAGACACCACCAAGCUUCUAGGACGCCAAAGCAUCCACGAAGAACAAUAUCAAGGGUACUAAGUACCAAAGGUAGUAAGCUUCUCAACUUCUCACUUCCACGUAUCACCGUGGAGAACUCAAACCGAUGCAACUAAUGCAAUGGCAAGAACACACGAAGUGGUCAAGUCCCUCACACUCAAAUCCCUCCAUAACAAAAAAAGCUAUGGAGAAAUAUGAGAGGAAGAACAAGGAGCUCACAAAGAACUCCAAGAUCAAGAUCCAAGGGGUUCCCCUCACAUAGAGGAGAAAGUGAUUGGUGGAGAUGUGGAUCUAGAUCUCCUCUCUCUUUUCCCUCAAGAACAAGCAAGAAUCAUUGGAGGGAUAGAGAGUAAUCAAGCUCUAAGAAUGUCAACAAUGGAGGUAGAACAAGAGCUCAACAGAUGGAUAAGGACAAGGGGGAAGAAGACCCCCUUUAUAUAGUGGGGGAAGGAAUCAGACCGUUACCCCCACUCUCUGCCCGAGCUGCAGCGGUACUACCGCUGGCACUCCAGCGGUACUACCGCCAGCUAGCGGUACUACCGCUCGCCCCAGCGGUACUACCUGCCAAGAAAGUCUUCGCAAAAAGGUCCGUCCACGAACAACCGCUAGGCAGGCGGUACUAAGCUCCUAGAGCGGUACUACCGCUGACCAGGGGCGGUACUACCGCCAGCCAGUGGUACUACCGCUAGGGCCCGCGGUACUACCGCCAACUCUAGCGGUACUACCGCUAGGUCCAGCGGUACUACCGCUCGCCACUGAAACAGCCAUAACUUUUGCAUACGAGCUCCGAAUCGAGCAAACCCAAGCUUGUUGGAUUUAGGACGACAAGGGCUAUCCAAACAGCCAUAACUUUCGCAUAAUACCAUGCAGUUAUGAAAAUGCCAAAGAUAUAGAGACGUGAGUCCUCUAUGAACGAAGAACCAGCAAAAACUUCAACAUCGAAAACAUCAUAGUAGAUGCAUAUGGACUCUGUUUUCGAUGAACUCGAGCUUGUCACGAGGAUGACCAUAAGCUCUAAAACUCAGAAAGAGAAACACCAAACAAGAACCAAGAAGUAUGAUGCAAGGAUGCAAAUGGUUUGAGCUCUCAACGAAUGAUACGAUCAAGCUACUCACUUGAGAUCCCCCUUGAUAAUACAACAAUCUAUCCUAAACAGAAAACCUAUCAAGGGCAAACCUAUACCUUGCACCUCGUCCUCUUGAGCUAGAUGAUGAUGAUCUUGGCUUCCUCAAGAUGGACCACCUUUCUUGAUUGUGUUGGCUUGAUGAAGACUAGUUGAUUGCUCCCCCAUACUCACUAUGGGUGAGCCACUCUUCAGCAUAUCUUCACAAGUCCAUUGCCACCACAAUGGACGGCAAGCUUCAAGCAUGAUAUCUUCGUGUUGAUCCACUUGAACUUGCACAUCGCAAUCUUGAUGACUAUCACAACUUGACGUCAUACUUCAUGGGUUGUAUGAGAUCUUCCCUUUGACGCAAGCCCAUGGAAACACACCUAACCCCACAUAGAACUCUCACGAAGACCAUGGGUUAGUACACAAAUACGUAAUGGACAAUGCUUACCAUACCAUGGGAUCACUUGAUCCCUCUCGGUACAUCUUGUACGCUUUGUGUGUUGAUCAUCUUGAUUUACUCUUUGUCUGAGAUCUUGAUCAACCAUGUGUCUCUAUGACCAUUCUUUGGAUAAUGCCUUGAAUACCAUCUUGGUCAUCAUAUAAACUCCUUGAACCCAACAGAUGUACUUCAAGAAGUGCCUAUGGACAAAUCCUAUAAAUGUAACUUAAGGCAACCAUUAGUCCAUAGGAAUUGUCAUCAAUUACCAAAACCACAUAUGGAGAUAUAUGCUCUAACAGUGUGCGAGGCGGGCCUCUUUCCUUUUCCCGUGCGUGUGCUGGAGGUGGGAGAUGACAGGAUCCGACGGUUUGGGAGGGCCAGAUCUGACGGCUACAGGUCGACCGGCCCAACAGUCAGGCCGGCGCGCCGGCGCAGAGUACUUCCCUACAAUUAUAACAUGGAUAAUAAACGAUUAUCUUCAAACAGAAAAUAUAAUAAUAGCUAUUUUAUCAUUGCCUCUAGGGCAUAUUUCCAACAUCGUCAAUGAUGAUGCCUGCCUCGAUGAUCAUGUAGUGUAUUAGGCGUCGUCCAGGCAUACAUGUGGGGUGCCCUAACAUUACAAGAAGGAAUCUUACCCUUGAAGCAUGCGAAGCAACUCCGUUCGACGGACUUCAGUCACCGGAGCAUCACCACCACCACCAUCACCAUGCACUCCACCACCACCACCACCACCACGACGAGAAGCACCACAACCACCUCCACCACCACCACAACCAUCACCACGACCACCACAAGCUAUCCCACCACGAGAUCGAGGUUUCCCUUGCAUCCCCGACCCUCUGGAAUGCAUUUAAGGUGGAAAAUGGGGGAAGAGAUUGGCUCAAAUUCGGGUAUUUAAUCGACCCGUGUUCGUGUAGGUGAGAGAAAAAAAUGAGGAGGAAGGAAGGAAGAAGAAAAGAGUAGAAAGAAGGAGAGGUCUCAGGCUAUGUGCCCACUAGUCGGCUUCAGCGUGGUUGAAAGGCGAGUCAACUUAGGCGUGGCCGACUGCUAGCCUCACCCGCCACGUGGCCAAGGGGUCCCUAAUCGGCUUAGACAUAGCCGAUAGGAUCUAAUCGGUUUCAGCAAAGCCGACUGAACCCAAUCGGCUACAGAAAACCUGAAGAUGUGCUAUUUUAAGAAAAAUCAAAUUCACGUAUUAUUUCUCGAAUUAAUUAAAAUAAUGUAUUAUUUAAAAAAAUAACGACAAUACACUUGGAGUACAAAGUCUUAGCUUUCAGGAUGAAACCCAAGGCUGGGUCUUAAUUGGUUGUGACUGGUAAUGAUUUUGUUGAAGACAUUGUUUUGAGAAUGCGGAUCGUCUUAAAAGUGAAAAACUAAGAUUUAAGAUCAGGCGAUGAUGGUGCUGGUGUAUUGUUUUCUUUCUGAAGGUGUCUUUUUGAAGAUUUGAACUUCGGCUGUGAUGGUUUGUGCUGUAGUUACAAGAAAUUGAUCAUUGUAGUAGGAUAUUAUUUUACCGUGUGCAUCUGCAAUCUCUUUAUGAUACUGUGUUGUUGCCGAGCCUAAAUGUAAUUGGUAGAGCGAUCAAUUUCGUAUCCAGCGGCCGAAAAGGAGAAAAGUUAGACUUGUUCAUGUGUGACUUCACCACAGCAAGUCAGAUAAUCUGGUUUGACUCUCCCUUGCCGGCGGCCGGCGCCGUGUUCCCGCAGCGGCGCAGUCUCAUGUCCAACUCCAACAUCUACGCCCCGUCGAGUCACGUGGCGUGCCCGCACGAGCACCUGCCCCCAUAUCCCUGGCCGCGCUCCGCGCUACCGCGGCGAUCGGGCGUCCACUGCCCAGUCGCGCACCUUUCCUCGCCGUACGAAUAUGGCCCCUGUUCCCGCUCCUAUCGCGCGCCUCCCCCUCCACCCUCGCCGUGUCCACGCCCCCCUCCCUCAUCCCCGACCGUCAGUACCGGCGGAGGCACGACACACCGCGCGCACGAGGGCGCCGGAGCCGGUCGAAGGAGUGGAUCCGGGGGGAAGUGAGACGGCGCGGGGUAGCACAUCACUCCGGAGCACGGGGCGACUGGCGCGGCGGGCGCCAUGUCUAAAAAGGCGCGGCAUGUGAACCACCCUAGUUGACAAUUUGUGCUUCGUUUGAUGCGUAUCCGAUUGCGGGAUUGACUCAUACGCUUCCAGGGCUCGGAUAAGGCGGGGUUCUUCACGGAGUACGGCGAAGCGACCCGGUAUGAGGUCGGCGAAGUGGUCGGCAAAGGCAGCUACGGCGUCGUCGCGGCUGCCGUCGACACCCACACCGGCGAGCGCGUCGCCAUAAAAAAGAUCGACGACGUCUUCGAGCAUGUCUCCGACGCCACCCGCAUUCUCCGCGAGGUCAAGCUGCUCCGCCUUCUGCGCCACCCAGACAUCGUCCAGAUCAAGCACAUCAUGCUCCCGCCGUCGCGCCGCGAGUUCCGUGACAUCUACAUUGUCUUCGAGCUCAUGGAGUCCGACCUCCACCAGGUCAUCAAGGCCAACGACGACCUCAGCCCGGAGCACCAUCAGUUCUUUUUCUACCAGCUGCUUCGCGGGAUGAAGUACAUACACGCUGCCAAUGUCUUCCACCGGGACCUCAAGCCCAAGAACAUUCUAGCCAAUGCCGAUUGCAAGCUCAAGAUUUGCGACUUCGGCCUUGCUCGGGUUUCCUUCAACGACACCCCGUCCGCGAUAUUCUGGACGGUAGGCACUUCGCUCUGAUGAAAGCUUAGCACAGAUUAUGUGUAUUAAUUAUGUAAGUUGCCAGCCAAAAUUUAGGCGUUUAUGCGCGUGGCCAUUGUCCCAGGAUUAUGUAGCAACAAGGUGGUAUCGUGCUCCAGAAUUAUGCGGCUCCUUCUUUUCAAAGGUAAGAUAAGCUUUAUCUCGACAAAAAAUGACCUUAACCAAAUUAGAGACCGUGAAUCCGUGAUAAUUCACCUCGUUGAUGCUGUCGAGUUUAUUCAUAAAUCUGAGUUUUUCUUCUACACUUGAUUGUUGACAGUUGACACCAUCUGGAUGCACAUGUUACCACAUUGGAUAAUUCCUGUUUCACUGUACUGAACUUAGUAUUUGCUUUUGCAGUACACUCCUGCAAUUGAUAUUUGGAGCAUAGGAUGUAUAUUUGCCGAAAUGCUUUCAGGGAGGCCUCUCUUUCCUGGUAAAAAUGUGGUACAUCAAUUGGAUCUCAUGACUGAUCUACUCGGCACUCCUUCGGCGGAAUCUAUUUCUAGGGUGAGUUCACUUCCCUGCUUCUAUAAAUAAAUCAGUUAGAGACUUAUCUCCUACGUGAGUUCUUGACUAUAAAGGGUUUCUCCCCUCUUUAUAUUACAGCACGGAACUAUCUAUCUAUCUAUAAGUUCAAAGUACUGAAUAUUCCUGCUAUAAUUAGACCUGCCGUUGAAUACAUACUGGUAAGACUAGUUCUUGCAUUAUGUCCGAAAAGUAAGGGACUGCCUAGAACACAAAGGCCUGAUUAUUUUCAUAGGGGCAGUCGAUUUUGUUGAACCACUGGAUUUAGAUCCAAUAGCUGGCUGUACUUCUGCAACCUCCAGACUCUGUCUUCUCUCUUUCAUCUUUAUCCCUGUCCUAAACCCUCUGCCAAGGUAUCAACGAGCAUCACGAAACCAACAACCCUGACCCCCUAACCACUUCGGCAAGGUCUCCUGCCUCGGCUACACAGCCGUCACCACUCCUGUGUCGCCGGUGGCUCUGCAUCAAAAUCCACCGGUGAGUGAAGUUGACAUGGCUGCAUUUCAAAGAACUACCCGACAGCAAAAGGAUAAAAUUCAUGCUUCGUUUAAUUUGUGUUUAUCAUAAGAAACUUCAGAGUGAUGUUUUGGUUGAAUAAUUCACUACCUGAACAGGCACUGGUCUUGAACAGUCCCACACUUCCAGUGAUCGUAUAUUUGCUUGAUUUGUAUACUUUGUAAUCCUUAAUUUCUGGAAAGGGCAUACAAGUAUCUGGUCCAUUGUGCUAAAAAAAAAUGAAACAUAAUUGAUCUAGCAAUGAUGCUUUACAAACAACUAAGCUUGCUCCAUCUAUGGCUGAGGGAGUUCUCUUUUGAAUAUUAUUCUUACAGAAAAUAACUAUGGUUGUAAACCUUUUUUUUUGGACGAGGCAUUCAGAGUGAUGUUUUGGUCAAAUAAGUCACUACCCGAACAGACAUGUUGUCUCAGACAAUCCCACAUUCCUAGUGACCAUAUAUUUGCUUGAUCUGUGUAGUUUGUAUUCCUUAAUCUCUGGAAAGGGCAAACACAAUAUCUGGUCCAUUGUGCUAAAAAAAUAUGGAUGAAAAUUGAUAUUUAACAAUGAUUCAUGACAAGCAGACAAGCUUGCUCCAUCUAAGGCUGGGGGAUUUAUCUUUUGGACAUUGUUCUUAUGAAAAUUACUGUAGCUCUUAACUUUUUUCUGGACCAAAGGCUUUCGCCCUCCUUUGUAGAUAAACUCACAAACGGCUAUGAGUACAACAGUUCCACAAAUAUUUAUGAUUCCAUGAAGAAGUUGCAGAUCACGCUUACAGCACAAACACUCGCGCAACAAACCACCUCAGCCACCUUCGAGAUAGCAAAAAAGGGCGACACAUGAAGUUUCCUCGAUGUCCUCCUUUGAUGAUGGCAUCACGAGGUGCAAACAAAAAUGAUCAUUUUGAACAAACAAAUAGAUGGACGUUUGGGUGUGUGGAGGAUCGUCGCCUAUGGCCUUUGGGUGCAACCAUUGGGAGAUGUUAGAACAGGAUACAUUCAAUCGAUUUUGGAUGGCUGUCGUAAUAGGUUAUGUGUCUGAGUCAUGUAAUUCAUUUAUUGGCCAGGCGACACCUGAAGUUUCCUCGAUGUCCUCCUUUGAUGAUGGCAACACGAGCUGCAAACAAAAAUGAUCAUUUUGAACAAACAGUUAGAUGAAUGUUUGGGUGUGUGGAGGAUCGGUGCCUAUGGUCAUUGGGUGCAACCAUCAGGAGAUGUAGAAUGGGAUACAUUCCAACCGAUUUUUUAUGGCGGUCUAGUAAUAGGUUACGUGUGUGAGUCAUUUUUCUGAAAAGGAGGAUAACCUCUGGCCUCUGCAUCGAGCGAUGCACACAGCCAUAUAUUAUUAAGAAUGCAAAAUCCAGCAGCCAAACAACAUCUACCCGGAAAUAAAGUGAAAAGAAAACCCGAGGCCGCAUGCCUCGCGAUAGUAACUCCACCAGAUAGGCACUAACCCUAUGAUACAAGACAAAAUCAAAACGAAAAAUACACAACUCCUAGGCGAUGCGUUCAAGAAGGAAUCGCUGCACGUGCGCCGAUGGUGACGGGUCCAACCCAAGGUUAAACUCCGGAUUCUCAUCCCCAAAGCCAAGCUUCAAUCUGUUAGGAAUAUGCGACUUCUGUUCCCAUGAGGCCAUAGGCCGAUAUAUAUACAUGUACAGGUGUGGACUAUAUGCAGAAAACCCCUUAUACAAUGGGAUAAAUACGAAGGGGUACAUGGCCAUAUUAUAUAUACUCUAACACAAUCCACCAUCUUCAACAAGGAUACUAUACAGGCAUGCGCCGACAUAGCCUGAUCACAGAUCUUGUGUUUCCACCGGAGUGCAUAGACUCGUCAUUGAAGCCAUUUGUACCAUAAUCCUUUAUCCGGCUACCAACUCCUUAAUAACCGAAUACCUCUAGAGAAGACACCGGAAGACAAAGACGUCCCAUACCGCCCGUCUCCCACCACUACCGCACCAUCUUCGAUCCAGUAGCAACAGGCUAAACAUGACAACUUUGCCAGAGCCACCGUGCCGCACCUGCCGGUAGCAGGCAUGGCUUCACGCUCCGCAUGAGACAUUAUGCGUAUCAUCUGCCGCCGGCGCCUUCGUCGGCUGCUUCACUUGCCAGCGACAAGCAUUGCUCGACGUCUCCGAAAGAGACACAUGUGUCACCUGCCGAGCCGCAUCGCACCCGAUCUGUUGAUAGAGGGACAUCCCAUACCGUCGCCAUCCUUAGAAAGGUCGUCACUGUCUCGAGA